AGUGAACGCUGGCGGUAGGCCUAACACAUGCAAGUCGAACGGCAGCACAGUAAGAGCUUGCUCUUACGGGUGGCGAGUGGCGGACGGGUGAGGAAUACAUCGGAAUCUACUUUUUCGUGGGGGAUAACGUAGGGAAACUUACGCUAAUACCGCAUACGACCUACGGGUGAAAGCAGGGGAUCUUCGGACCUUGCGCGAUUGAAUGAGCCGAUGUCGGAUUAGCUAGUUGGCGGGGUAAAGGCCCACCAAGGCGACGAUCCGUAGCUGGUCUGAGAGGAUGAUCAGCCACACUGGAACUGAGACACGGUCCAGACUCCUACGGGAGGCAGCAGUGGGGAAUAUUGGACAAUGGGCGCAAGCCUGAUCCAGCCAUACCGCGUCGGUGAAGAAGGCCUUCGGGUUGUAAAGCCCUUUUGUUGGGAAAGAAAAGCAGCAGGUUAAUACCCCGCUGUUCUGACGGUACCCAAAGAACAAGCACCGGCUAACUUCGUG
This 492-nucleotide ribosomal RNA is filed under the name uncultured bacterium. RNAcentral describes it as "partial 16S ribosomal RNA". It matches the Rfam family "Bacterial small subunit ribosomal RNA", at positions 29 to 507 of the family's 1533-position model. The record is from RNAcentral.